UGCUUCACGCUGACACCGAGGAGGAGCCGAAGAUCACCAUCUUUCUGCAGUUGACGAUCUCUGAAAUCUGAUUCAUCUUCACCAUGACGCUGUUGGCUGUUUCUGCACUUCUCUGUGCAAUGACGAUUACGACCCUCGGAGCUGCCUUGGAACCUCACGUGUUUAGUAAGUUCUCAUCCUGUCCCUGUGCAUGGACACAGUUCCAGGACCGAUGUUUCAUCUAUGUCCCGAAGGCCAUGACGUGGGCCGAG
This is a non-coding RNA of Labrus bergylta (ballan wrasse), 251 nucleotides long. NCBI's taxonomy places the organism in Eukaryota, Metazoa, Chordata, Actinopteri, Labriformes, Labridae. The record is from RefSeq and is a predicted model, not a curated record.